Molecule: long non-coding RNA, 533 nt
Filed under: Homo sapiens (human)
Lineage: Eukaryota; Metazoa; Chordata; Mammalia; Primates; Hominidae
Description: non-protein coding lnc-DNAAF5-3:21
Source: RNAcentral
GGCCCCUCCGGGGCUUGGCACCAGCAGGCACGCAGCGAUCGCCGUCGUUGUUAUUUAGUAGUAGUAGUAACGGCUGACAUUUACAGCGACGUCGAUGGCGCCAGGUGCCAAGCUCUUUCCUUGUAUAAUUUCAUGGACACUCACGCAUCAACUCUAAGCGAAGACUUGGAGCGGGGCUCAGCACCCCAGGGGUACCUCUGCAACCUCGAAAUGAAGUUGAAAAUAGCACAGGAGCCCACUAUCACUGUGUGAACAUUUUGUGAAUGAAGACAUGUAUGAAAGGAUGUUUGGAGGCUUCAAGAAACGAAAGCCGAGAGUCUAGCUAGACCAGAGCCAUCCAGCCCAGGAGCGAUGGCCACGUGUGGCCGCUGGACACGAGAGACGUGGCCAGUCCAAACUGUGCAGUGCGGUUGAAAAAAACAUUUUGGAUAUAUGGUGUUAAAUAAACAUGAUUACAAUGACUUUCGCUGUCAGCCUCCCGGAGGCUCAUUUUGCUCCUCUGGGCCACAGCCAGCUCAGAGGGUUGCUCUAGG